UUUUUUUUUUGCUAUUUCUUUGGGCCACUCCCGCAGCAUAUGGAGAUUCCCAGGCUAGGGGUCGAAUUGGAGCUGCAGCCACCGGCCUACGCCAGAGCCACAGCAACUCGGGAUCCGAGCCGCGUCUGCAACCUACACCACAGCUCACGGCAACGCCGGAUUGUCAACCCACUGAGCAAGGGCAGGGACCAAACCCACAACCUCAUGGUUCCUAAUUGGAUUUGUUAACCACUGCGCCACGACGGGAACUCCAGGAACAAAAAUUUUAGAAGACAGCCAUAAAUAUCUUAGAGGAAUCACGAUGGUUUUUCUUUUGUUCUCCCUCAUCUGUAUUUUACUAUUGUCUUCUUGUCUUUAUUAUUGUCUUUGCUUCCGUAAGAAAGAGUCCAUGAAGAUUCUCAAAUGUCUGAAAAUUCACACUGCGCAGAUUCCAAGGAGGCACCUGGCACGUAUGUAUGUAUUCGAUGAGUGAGAGCGUGAGAAAUAAUGAUAAGGAAUGAAGGCCAAAGGCACAGUCUCAUGCUGUGUGUCCCUGCUCGUCCUCUGACCUUCUGACGAUGGCCGUCUUCUGUGCCUGCAAGGACUGAACUCAACGCCGUGCUAGGCUCUCCUUCAGUUGCUGCCUCCCGGAACCCAUCAACCGAUCACUCACAGAAGGAUAACGUGGCAGAGGGGACUGGCCAUGAGGGAAGUUGUUUGGCUUUUGUGAAUCAAAAGCAAGACUCUAGAGGCCCCUCCUGCAGUUAAUUGCAGGGAUAAAGGUGAGUGUCUCCCAGGUAAACAACCUGUGGGCGGCUGUGGAGACAAAUCCCAGAAGACCAGACCCCUGCCAGCCACCUGCAGUGCUCGCCUGAGAAGGCUCCGUAUUCCAGGAACAGAGAGGCACCUGCUGGUAUUCUUAAGUUAGCUUUGUUAUGGAUUAUUCUUCCAAACUGAACACAGGAGGAUCAAAUUGUAGGGUCCUUCAGAGGCUAUGCCUUCAGAGGAAGGGUAAAAAAGUCACACUGGAGCUGAGAAAACAGACCGACUGCAGUCAGUACUGUAUUUGCGAAUACCUUUUUCUCUUUUUAGGGCCACAUCUGCAGCAUAUGGAAGUUCCUGGGCCAGAGGUCGAAUCGGAGCUGCAAUUGCAGCCCAUACCACAGCCACAGCAAUGCCAGAUCUGCACCCUGCUCGGUAGCAUGCGGCAACACCAGAUCCUUAACCCACUGCGCAAAGCCAGGGAUCGCCAAACCUGCAUCCUCAUGGACACCAUGCUGGGUUCUUAACCCACUGAGCCACAACAGCAACUCGGUAUUUGCUAAUAUGUUACAGUUCAAAUGUAAUUACUCUGCCUUUGGUUGUUCGAGUUGGUAAAAAAUAGUAUUUGCUGCUCUUUGAUUACAGCAAAUAGAUAAUCUACUGGAAGUCUUCAUUCAUUCAAUGUACAUGCACUGAGCAACUGCUUCUGUGUGCCACCUUAGCAGCCAAGUGCCACAGCAUAAAUGACAGGAACUAACCUUUCCCACCUAGAUGGGAGUGACAGGGCAGUGGUGCGCUCAGGCUGGUUUGUACCAAUUCUUGAAAGCCCAUUUUUAAAUUUUCAGGAUUUCUGCAAGCCAGCUGUUAAAUUCAACCACGAUUCUAGAGUAAACUACAUAAACUUAUACUUAAAAUAUAUUAAAAAUAAAGGUAAUAAAUGCUCAAAGUUCACAUCCCUUUCUAAUUAUUUUACUGCAUUUUGCUAUUAUCUAUGGUCUUAGGGUUAUUAUUUUUUUACAAUUGUGCCUGUAUCCUGAAAAAAGUACAUGAUAAAAUGCCAUUACUCAUCUCAAGUUGGUAGUGUGAAAUCAAGGAAGGAGUAUUUACACCACAGAAAUUGGCAAAUGACACGAACCAGGGCUUGAUUUAUUUUUUGGUUGCUUGUCCAGACUUAAAGAUGACGGAAAAAAAUGUUAAUGAUGCAGGUUAAACAUAAAAGUACUGCAUAUCUGUGGCUGCCAGAUUGCAAAUAAUACCCCCAAAAUGAGGAAAUACUCUUCCAGUAUUCAAAAACCAUGAUCUGAUUUCGGGACAAUGUUAUAUAUUUGAUGAUGAAUGGGGUGCCUACAUAUGUUUUCAUUUUUUUCUCUUUGUCUCAAAGGAAAUAACAGCAUCUGCCAACAUUCCUGUUUAAAGCACACUCAUGUAUCAAUGUUUUGAGUAAUUUUGCUGAACUGGAGAGUAGUCAAACAUUUACUCACAGUCUGCUUUUUCAAUUCAUUGUCUGAUCCCAAGCGCAGGCUGACUAUGGAUGCAAGAGUCCAGCAGAAAUCAACAAAAGCAUUCUGCAAGUAGCGCAGGCUGACUAGAUGCAAGAUGCAGCAGAAAUCAACAAAAGCAUUCUGCAAGUAGUGCAGGCUGACUAUGGAUGCAAGAGUCCAGCAGAAAUCAACAAAAGCAUUGUGCAAGUAUCAACUAGCUAAACAGACUUUACAAUCAAGAGUACUGUGUAUUUUAUAAUUAUUUGUAAAUUGUGUGCUAACACAAUGAUAACAACUGCGACUAUCAACUUGGUAGGAAAUAGAGUGAUAAGGAAACCUACCAAAAGUGUGAGAUAAGACUGUAAAGCCAGAUUGCAUUCUCCACUAGAAAAUGAUAGCAUGUCAUCUGCAAAUCCUUGGGUGAAACAGUCAGCUCUCCCACUUGUCAAAAGCAAAAACUCACCAGACAUAAGCAUAGCAAAUAUGAAAGAGGAGGCUUGUCAUGGGCGACAGUCCUCAAUAGUUGAUUUUUAGCUAAUUCCAGACAAAACAGCUUAUCCUGCUGUGCCAUCCUCACCAGAUUUAUCAUGCAAUAUUAGAGGCUGAAGGCAAAAGAAGAAUCAAGCUUCUCCUGUCCCUCUCCCUGCCAAAAAAGAUGGUUCCAUCAUUCCUGAUGAGUGUAAGUUUCCUGCAAAUGGUGAAAAAUUUUUGCUAUUUAAUGGUGGAGAACAUGAUGUAGACAGAAUUGUGGUAUUUGGUACAGAAUCUGACUUAGACGACCAAGCAUGCCACGGAGUGUUUAAAUGUAGUCCAGACACGUGCCACCAGUUAUAGACGCUACGUAUAUUGAUAGAAACAGUAGCAUCCGUUGUCUGUUCACUUUACUUCCAGGGAAAUCUGAAGAAAGUCAUGGCAGAUUCAUAUAUAUAUAUAUAAAUAGAGGAGUUAUAUCUAACAGCAGACCCCAAAUCCUUCAUGGUCAACCGUGAGAAAAGAACUAUCGUCACUUUCUCUAAGAUAUACCCAAAUGAAACUACAACCAUGGAUCUACACACAUUUUAAAUGUAUGCAAAUUUUUUUUGUAUUUUCAUUUCUCACAAUAACAUUUUCUUAAAAUUUUGUUAUUAAUUUUUCAUAUUUCAUGGUGUCCUUUUUAUUUUUUGGGGGGGGCUGCACCCACAGGAUAUGGAAGGUCCCAGGCCAGGGAUCGAAUCCGAGCCACAGCUGCGACCUACACCACAGCUGAGGCGACUCUGGAUCUUUAACCCACUGUGCCACAGUGGGAACUCCUCAUUAUGUCCUUUUUAAUGUCCCUCUUUUAUUUUAUUUUAUUAUUGUUAUUUUAUCUUUUAGACAAAACUGUUAUACGGUGCACAACUAAUUGUGCAGCAAAACUGCUUGGGGCAAAGAUUCUUAUGGUAAAAAAGACCUAGCACCAGACAAAUGAGCUGUGCCAUCCUCUUCAGACUUCAGAGGCUGGCAUCACUACAAGACGAGGGAUGUGGGGUGCAUUUCCAGAGACCAAUGAGCCAGCUCUGCAGUCCGGCACUGCGUGGGUUAAAUCAGCUUUUGUGGGCUAGCCUAGGACUCUACCUACCAUUUUUAACAGGAUUUUUUUUCAGGUAUUUAAAAAAUAAAGUCUCUGGACAAGACUGUCUGUUCCACCAAACCAAACCACUGCAUGCUACCCCAUCUCUCAGCCAGCCCCAAAGAUGCCAUCAUGGUUACCGGUUGGCUUUGAGUGGUUGACUCCUACUACCCCAAAUUGUAUAUCUUUCACUUCUCUCUGUGCUGGAGUCUGCCCUGAGUUAAUUAAAUAGCAGCACAGCAGAAAGAAAUCAAUCUGUAUUCAGUGCAGCAGGUUUUGUGGGAAUUACUUCUCCCGCCGAAUUCACUACGCCAGUUAAUAAAAACACAUCCAGGGCUCUGCUGGUGUUUGGGACAGGAGCACUGCAGGAGAGUCACCACUGUCCCCGCUGGCACGGGAGGGACACCCUUACCCCUCUCGGAGUCCUGGCUCCUGGCCCCACCUCUCUCUCACCUUUGGUCCUUCGCUGUUUCCUGGGCUCAUUCUGUGAAGUGUGUCCGCGUGCUGGGGAGCAGGCCUCCCGCUGCAGUGGCCCCCAAGCAGAGGACAGGUUGGCUUUAAUUGUUUGUUAACUUCUCAGGGCCACAGAGAUGUCUGCUGGAUGACAGCACGUGAAAGGCAGAGCCUGAAAUUAAUCUUCACAGAGCUUGGGGUGCUUGGCAAGCUUGAUGAGCUGGUGUCUGCCCUACACGUGAACGGCACCCUCUCUAAUCCCUCCACAUGUCAAGUAAGCGUCCAUGAAGCCAAGGUGGGGAAAAGGCACAGUCCACAGCUCAGAUCUGUGAGAUCCU
This 4601-nucleotide long non-coding RNA is filed under the name Sus scrofa (pig). Its description in RNAcentral is "lncRNA (ENSSSCG00030047356.1)". Lineage: Eukaryota; Metazoa; Chordata; Mammalia; Artiodactyla; Suidae. The record is from RNAcentral.